UGCAGUCGAGCGGACAGAUGGGAGCUUGCUCCCUGAUGUUAGCGGCGGACGGGUGAGUAACACGUGGGUAACCUGCCUGUAAGACUGGGAUAACUCCGGGAAACCGGGGCUAAUACCGGAUGCUUGUUUGAACCGCAUGGUUCAAACAUAAAAGGUGGCUUCGGCUACCACUUACAGAUGGACCCGCGGCGCAUUAGCUAGUUGGUGAGGUAAUGGCUCACCAAGGCAACGAUGCGUAGCCGACCUGAGAGGGUGAUCGGCCACACUGGGACUGAGACACGGCCCAGACUCCUACGGGAGGCAGCAGUAGGGAAUCUUCCGCAAUGGACGAAAGUCUGACGGAGCAACGCCGCGUGAGUGAUGAAGGUUUUCGGAUCGUAAAGCUCUGUUGUUAGGGAAGAACAAGUACCGUUCGAAUAGGGCGGUACCUUGACGGUACCUAACCAGAAAGCCACGGCUAACUACGUGCCAGCAGCCGCGGUAAUACGUAGGUGGCAAGCGUUGUCCGGAAUUAUUGGGCGUAAAGGGCUCGCAGGCGGUUUCUUAAGUCUGAUGUGAAAGCCCCCGGCUCAACCGGGGAGGGUCAUUGGAAACUGGGGAACUUGAGUGCAGAAGAGGAGAGUGGAAUUCCACGUGUAGCGGUGAAAUGCGUAGAGAUGUGGAGGAACACCAGUGGCGAAAGCGACUCUCUGGUCUGUAACUGACGCUGAGAGCGAAAGCGUGGGGAGCGAACAGAUUAGAUACCCUGGUAGUCCACGCCGUAAACGAUGAGUGCUAAGUGUUAGGGGUUUCCGCCCCUUAGUGCUGCAGCUAACGCAUUAAGCACUCCGCCUGGGGAGUACGUCGCAAGACUGAAACUCAAGAUUGACGGGGCCCGCACAAGCGGUGGAGCAUGUGGUUAAUUCGAGCACGCGAGACCUUACCAGUC
Molecule: ribosomal RNA, 928 nt
Filed under: uncultured Bacillus sp.
Lineage: Bacteria; Bacillati; Bacillota; Bacilli; Caryophanales; Bacillaceae
Description: bacterial SSU rRNA
Rfam family: Bacterial small subunit ribosomal RNA
Source: RNAcentral